This 1674-nucleotide ribosomal RNA is filed under the name Klebsiella pneumoniae LAU-KP1. RNAcentral's name for it is "bacterial LSU rRNA". It matches the Rfam family "Bacterial large subunit ribosomal RNA", at positions 1272 to 2925 of the family's 2925-position model. Lineage: Bacteria; Pseudomonadati; Pseudomonadota; Gammaproteobacteria; Enterobacterales; Enterobacteriaceae. The record is from RNAcentral.
GCUGGAGGUAUCAGAAGUGCGAAUGCUGACAUAAGUAACGAUAAAGCGGGUGAAAAGCCCGCUCGCCGGAAGACCAAGGGUUCCUGUCCAACGUUAAUCGGGGCAGGGUGAGUCGACCCCUAAGGCGAGGCCGAAAGGCGUAGUCGAUGGGAAACAGGUUAAUAUUCCUGUACUUGGUGUUACUGCGAAGGGGGGACGGAGAAGGCUAUGUUAGCCGGGCGACGGUUGUCCCGGUUUAAGCAUGUAGGCUGGUUGUCCAGGCAAAUCCGGAUAAUCAAGGCUGAGGUGUGAUGACGAGGCACUACGGUGCUGAAGUAACAAAUGCCCUGCUUCCAGGAAAAGCCUCUAAGCAUCAGGUAACAUCAAAUCGUACCCCAAACCGACACAGGUGGUCAGGUAGAGAAUACCAAGGCGCUUGAGAGAACUCGGGUGAAGGAACUAGGCAAAAUGGUGCCGUAACUUCGGGAGAAGGCACGCUGGUGUGUAGGUGAAGUCCCUGCGGAUGGAGCUGAGACCAGUCGAAGAUACCAGCUGGCUGCAACUGUUUAUUAAAAACACAGCACUGUGCAAACACGAAAGUGGACGUAUACGGUGUGACGCCUGCCCGGUGCCGGAAGGUUAAUUGAUGGGGUUAUCCGUAAGGAGAAGCUCUUGAUCGAAGCCCCGGUAAACGGCGGCCGUAACUAUAACGGUCCUAAGGUAGCGAAAUUCCUUGUCGGGUAAGUUCCGACCUGCACGAAUGGCGUAAUGAUGGCCAGGCUGUCUCCACCCGAGACUCAGUGAAAUUGAACUCGCUGUGAAGAUGCAGUGUACCCGCGGCAAGACGGAAAGACCCCGUGAACCUUUACUAUAGCUUGACACUGAACAUUGAGCCUUGAUGUGUAGGAUAGGUGGGAGGCUUUGAAGCGUGGACGCCAGUCUGCGUGGAGCCAACCUUGAAAUACCACCCUUUAAUGUUUGAUGUUCUAACGUUGGCCCCUUACCGGGGUUGCGGACAGUGUCUGGUGGGUAGUUUGACUGGGGCGGUCUCCUCCCAAAGCGUAACGGAGGAGCACGAAGGUUAGCUAAUCCUGGUCGGACAUCAGGAGGUUAGUGCAAUGGCAUAAGCUAGCUUGACUGCGAGCGUGACGGCGCGAGCAGGUGCGAAAGCAGGUCAUAGUGAUCCGGUGGUUCUGAAUGGAAGGGCCAUCGCUCAACGGAUAAAAGGUACUCCGGGGAUAACAGGCUGAUACCGCCCAAGAGUUCAUAUCGACGGCGGUGUUUGGCACCUCGAUGUCGGCUCAUCACAUCCUGGGGCUGAAGUAGGUCCCAAGGGUAUGGCUGUUCGCCAUUUAAAGUGGUACGCGAGCUGGGUUUAGAACGUCGUGAGACAGUUCGGUCCCUAUCUGCCGUGGGCGCUGGAGAAUUGAGGGGGGCUGCUCCUAGUACGAGAGGACCGGAGUGGACGCAUCACUGGUGUUCGGGUUGUCAUGCCAAUGGCACUGCCCGGUAGCUAAAUGCGGAAGAGAUAAGUGCUGAAAGCAUCUAAGCACGAAACUUGCCCCGAGAUGAGUUCUCCCUGAGACUUUAAGUCUCCUGAAGGAACGUUAAAGACGAUGACGUUGAUAGGCCGGGUGUGUAAGCGCAGCGAUGCGUUGAGCUAACCGGUACUAAUGAACCGUGAGGCUUAACCUU